GACGAACGCUGGCGGCGUGCUUAACACAUGCAAGUCGAACGGAAAGGCCCUGCUUUUGUGGGGUGCUCGAGUGGCGAACGGGUGAGUAACACGUGAGUAACCUGCCCUUGACUUUGGGAUAACUUCAGGAAACUGGGGCUAAUACCGGAUAGGAGCUCCUGCUGCAUGGUGGGGGUUGGAAAGUUUCGGCGGUUGGGGAUGGACUCGCGGCUUAUCAGCUUGUUGGUGGGGUAGUGGCUUACCAAGGCUUUGACGGGUAGCCGGCCUGAGAGGGUGACCGGCCACAUUGGGACUGAGAUACGGCCCAGACUCCUACGGGAGGCAGCAGUGGGGAAUAUUGCACAAUGGGCGGAAGCCUGAUGCAGCAACGCCGCGUGCGGGAUGACGGCCUUCGGGUUGUAAACCGCUUUCGCCUGUGACGAAGCGUGAGUGACGGUAAUGGGUAAAGAAGCACCGGCUAACUACGUGCCAGCAGCCGCGGUGAUACGUAGGGUGCGAGCGUUGUCCGGAUUUAUUGGGCGUAAAGGGCUCGUAGGUGGUUGAUCGCGUCGGAAGUGUAAUCUUGGGGCUUAACCCUGAGCGUGCUUUCGAUACGGGUUGACUUGAGGAAGGUAGGGGAGAAUGGAAUUCCUGGUGGAGCGGUGGAAUGCGCAGAUAUCAGGAGGAACACCAGUGGCGAAGGCGGUUCUCUGGGCCUCUCCUGACGCUGAGGAGCGAAAGCGUGGGGAGCGAACAGGCUUAGAUACCCUGGUAGUCCACGCUGUAAACGGUGGGUACUAGGUGUGGGGUCCAUUCCACGGGUUCCGUGCCGUAGCUAACGCUUUAAGUACCCCGCCUGGGGAGUACGGCCGCAAGGCUAAAACUCAAAGGAAUUGACGGGGCCCCGCACAAGCGGCGGAGCAUGCGGAUUAAUUCGAUGCAACGCGUAGAACCUUACCUGGGUUUGACAUGGAUCGGGAGCGCUCAGAGAUGGGUGUGCCUCUUUUGGGGUCGGUUCACAGGUGGUGCAUGGCUGUCGUCAGCUCGUGUCGUGAGAUGUUGGGUUAAGUCCCGCAACGAGCGCAACCCUUGUUCACUGUUGCCAGCACGUUAUGGUGGGGACUCAGUGGAGACCGCCGGGGUCAACUCGGAGGAAGGUGGGGGUGACGUCAAGUCAUCAUGCCCCUUAUGUCCAGGGCUUCACGCAUGCUACAAUGGCUGGUACAGAGAGUGGCGAGCCUGUGAGGGUGAGCGAAUCUCGGAAAGCCGGUCUCAGUUCGGAUUGGGGUCUGCAACUCGACCUCAUGAAGUCGGAGUCGCUAGUAAUCGCAGAUCAGCAACGCUGCGGUGAAUACGUUCCCGGGGCU
RNAcentral lists this ribosomal RNA (1346 nucleotides) under uncultured bacterium. RNAcentral's name for it is "bacterial SSU rRNA". It matches the Rfam family "Bacterial small subunit ribosomal RNA", at positions 28 to 1381 of the family's 1533-position model. The record is from RNAcentral.